Molecule: ribosomal RNA, 253 nt
Filed under: uncultured bacterium
Lineage: Bacteria
Description: partial 16S ribosomal RNA
Rfam family: Bacterial small subunit ribosomal RNA
Source: RNAcentral
UACGGAGGAGGCAAGCGUUAUCCGGAAUUAUUGGGCGUAAAGCGUCCGCAGGUGGCACUUCAAGUCUGUCGUCAAAGACUGGGGCUUAACCCUGGAAAGGCGGUGGAAACUGAAGCGCUAGAGUGCGGUAGGGGUAGAGGGAAUUCCCGGUGUAGCGGUGAAAUGCGUAGAGAUCGGGAAGAACAUCGGUGGCGAAAGCGCUCUGCUGGACUGCAACUGGCACUCAGGGACGAAAGCUAGGGGAGCGAAUGGG